GGGCCCGUAGCUCAGUCGGUAGAGCAGCUGACUCAUAAUCAGUUGGUCGGAGGUUCGAGCCCCCCCGGGCCCA
Molecule: transfer RNA, 73 nt
Filed under: Candidatus Omnitrophota bacterium
Lineage: Bacteria; Pseudomonadati; Candidatus Omnitrophota
Description: Candidatus Omnitrophica bacterium tRNA-Met
Rfam family: tRNA
About the family: Transfer RNA (tRNA) molecules are approximately 80 nucleotides in length.
Source: RNAcentral